Molecule: non-coding RNA, 65 nt
Organism: Potamilus streckersoni
Lineage: Eukaryota; Metazoa; Mollusca; Bivalvia; Unionida; Unionidae
Source: the annotation of a GenBank genome assembly
UCUGGCCUAGUAGUUAAAGCUUCCGCCUCAGAUGCGGAAAGUCGCAGGUUCGAACCCCCGCAGAG